RNAcentral lists this transfer RNA (69 nucleotides) under Ciconia maguari. RNAcentral describes it as "tRNA-Arg". It matches the Rfam family "tRNA". Rfam says of the family: Transfer RNA (tRNA) molecules are approximately 80 nucleotides in length. Their secondary structure includes four short double-helical elements and three loops (D, anti-codon, and T loops). Lineage: Eukaryota; Metazoa; Chordata; Aves; Ciconiiformes; Ciconiidae. The record is from RNAcentral.
AGAAAGUUAGUCUAAUUAAGACAGUUGAUUUCGACUCAACAGACCAUAGUCCCACCCUAUGACUUUCUC